This is a long non-coding RNA of Rhincodon typus (whale shark), 268 nucleotides long. RefSeq lists it as uncharacterized. The record is from RefSeq and is a predicted model, not a curated record. Lineage: Eukaryota; Metazoa; Chordata; Chondrichthyes; Orectolobiformes; Rhincodontidae. The transcript has 3 exons.
AGGACUUAAGAACAGGAGUUCGCCAUUCAACCCCUCAAGUCAUUCAUGAACAGAUUUCUUUCAAGAAUGGAAAAACCACCUUUUAAACAAGUUCAGACAUGUGGACCCUGGGAUCUAAAGGAGCGCCUCGGAACAGGAGGCUUUGGACAUGUUUAUAUGUACGAGCAUAAGAACACUGGAGAAAGGAUUGCUGUUAAAGCCUGUCGCUUGGAGUUGAGCACAAGAAACAAAGAAAGGUGGUGCCAUGAGAUUCAAAUUAUGAAAAAGU